UACGUAGGGUGCGAGCGUUGUCCGGAAUUAUUGGGCGUAAAGAGCUCGUAGGCGGUUUGUUGCGUCGGCUGUGAAAUCCCGAGGCUCAACCUCGGGUCUGCAGUCGAUACGAGCAAACUAGAGUGUUGCAGGGGAGACUGGAAUUCCUGGUGUAGCGGUGAAAUGCGCAGAUAUCAGGAGGAACACCGGUGGCGAAGGCGGCCUGCUGGGCAGUAGCUGACGCUGAGGCGCGACAGCGUGGGGAGCAAACAGG
Molecule: ribosomal RNA, 253 nt
Filed under: uncultured bacterium
Lineage: Bacteria
Description: partial 16S ribosomal RNA
Rfam family: Bacterial small subunit ribosomal RNA
Source: RNAcentral